UACGUAGGGUGCGAGCGUUGUCCGGAAUUAUUGGGCGUAAAGAGCUCGUAGGCGGUCUGUCGCGUCGAAUGUGAAAACCCGGGGCUCAACUCCGGGCUUGCAUUCGAUACGGGCAGGCUAGAGUUCGGUAGGGGAGUCUGGAAUUCCUGGUGUAGCGGUGAAAUGCGCAGAUAUCAGGAGGAACACCGGUGGCGAAGGCGGGUCUCUGGGCCGAAACUGACGCUGAGGAGCGAAAGCGUGGGGAGCGAACAGG
This 253-nucleotide ribosomal RNA is filed under the name uncultured bacterium. RNAcentral's name for it is "partial 16S ribosomal RNA". It matches the Rfam family "Bacterial small subunit ribosomal RNA", at positions 524 to 776 of the family's 1533-position model. The record is from RNAcentral.